GAUAACAGAUUUGGCGUCUCUGUAUUAGACGGGGAGCAGAUCAAAGAUAGCAGAUAUCGCCUUCUUGAGUUGCAGGGAAGCAGAUUGAAGCCGUCAAGAGGCCAUUUAAAGAAGAUCAAGGAUCAAGAACUCAAGACUCGACGAGCCCGGGCAAAAUUGGUCCUUUUAUAGUCUUUGCUCUAUUUCUGUUACACAACAAUGAGCAAAGAGGGGCAGCUGUAGACACUCAAUUUUUC
Molecule: long non-coding RNA, 236 nt
Filed under: Gossypium barbadense (sea-island cotton)
Lineage: Eukaryota; Viridiplantae; Streptophyta; Magnoliopsida; Malvales; Malvaceae
Description: long non-coding RNA (GBAR_LNC000741)
Source: RNAcentral